AUGUACAAAAGCCUCAAAGGGCACCAAACAUUAUGUGAUGUCCUCAAAAAGCAGAUUCUGAAGCGAAACCCUAGAAAAGAGGGUAUUGGGUUCGAGGGGAAAAUGAAUGUUGAUGGGUCGUACUGGAAGCCUGAGCAGUACCCCAAAACCACAUGGGUUGCUGCGAAGGAAUCUUCAGUAGAUCCAUCCACCUUAUCUGGUUUCACUUGCACUAACCCUAUUAUCAUUGAUGAAUCCUUUGAUGCAAACUAUAAACUGUUUAAGAAUCAGAAUGGUGAAGUGUUUGCCAGGUAUAUUGGUACUAACUGCAUGAAUGGACCACCUAUGAAGAAGAUCUGGGUACCUAAACAGUGUAUUGAGAAUCUUCCUGUGAAUGUCAUCAUGACACCACCAAGGAAGAAGACAAACCCCAGACCUAUGGCUUCAUAUGGCCCAAAGGCUUCAUACAGAUAUAGGACUCACCUGAGUCACCCUAACGCCAAUGUUUUGUAG
Molecule: ribosomal RNA, 492 nt
Filed under: Triticum aestivum (bread wheat)
Lineage: Eukaryota; Viridiplantae; Streptophyta; Magnoliopsida; Poales; Poaceae
Description: partial small subunit ribosomal RNA
Source: RNAcentral